Molecule: long non-coding RNA, 512 nt
Organism: Girardinichthys multiradiatus
Lineage: Eukaryota; Metazoa; Chordata; Actinopteri; Cyprinodontiformes; Goodeidae
Exons: 3
Source: RefSeq, a predicted model, not a curated record
GUCCUAUCAGCGAGGACUUCUUCAUCCUGUUCAAAUACAGGUUUUAAUCUUCCACUGUUUAGGAUGUGGAGGAACUCUAUGAAAACCUUUAACAGCUUGAUAAUGAUUGGUGUUGUUAACACACUGGAACCUGUUACAAUGGUGUGUUUCACGCAGAUAUGAGGGGGAGAAGAAGAACUUCUAGCAGUGUUAUCAACCAGGCUGGUUUAUUCAGGACAGGAACAGACAUGAAGGUUGAGAGCUUCCACCUCAAUAUCUUCAACCAGCCGUGUCAAGAUUAGUCGUUGAGUGCUGAUGUUUACUUUUAGGUUUGUCUCUGCUUCAACACCACUGAAUCAAAUGAGGUCAGUACCAGGAUUUUAGAGACCUUGACUGCACACCGAGGUGUUACUUCAGCCAUUUGAUUCAGGUGUGCUGGACCUGGGACACAUCUAAAAGUUGAGGGACACCGGCCCUGGAGGACUGAAGUUUGAUACCUCCACAUGAGAGGUUUCUGUCACAUGAUGGUCUCU